Molecule: long non-coding RNA, 1785 nt
Filed under: Sus scrofa (pig)
Lineage: Eukaryota; Metazoa; Chordata; Mammalia; Artiodactyla; Suidae
Description: lncRNA (ENSSSCG00025048247.1)
Source: RNAcentral
GGGACGUCAUGACGUAAUGUGGCUAAGAUCAUCUCUUCAGCUACUGUUUCCUUUUGAAUUCUUGAACCCACCCUUUCUUUAGGAGAUGCACAUUUUGAAACUUCAAAAGAUAGCUUUGCUCCACUUUAAUUUUCUCUUUGAUUAAUUAAUUUCAUAAAGAGUGGAUGGACAUGGUCCCCAGGAUCCUGCAGCAGAUUGACGGCUACACAGUUUCCGUCAUCUGUUUGCCCAGAGCCUGAAUACCGAGCAGAGGUACGAUUUCUGCAGUGUACCCCUCUGAUGUUCUCCCAUUUCAUUCCAAGAGACCAGCUGUAAAGGCAAGAUGGCAACUCCAUUUUCAUGCCAGUUCAUCCUUGGCCUCUCUCCAGAUUUCGAGUAUUUAGGGCUUGAUUUUGCUGGCUGCUUCAUUCCUUGUGUGCACAGAGCUCCCAUUGACUUCAUUAUGAUAAACAGAAUGAUGAUAAACUUCAAUGGUAAACAGAAGGGUUCUUCACUUCAUUGGGAAUUCGACAUGUAUGAAGAGACGUGGUCCAGUAAAAUCAGCCCAUUUUGGAUCCAAUAAAUAAGCAUAAUAGUAUCUACAGUGCCAAGUUGGUGUCAUGUGACAUAUGUCUAAGUGAAUAUGGGCGCUGGAGAUUCCACUUCAGAUGUAUACACACACACACACACACACACACACACACACACACACACACACACACUCUUUAAGAAGCUGAUUUUUUUGUUUGUUUGUUUUCUUGUGAAGAUGGGUCACAAAUAAGGCCCACUGGAGCAAGUAAUUUAUGGAAUUUUUAAUAUUCACCAUUUCUUCACUGGUUCAAAAAAGGCACAGACAACUAUGUUGCAUAAUUUUCUGGCAAUGUCACAAAGUAGCAUCAUGUGGCUAGUUCUACCAGGUUCAGUUCUAAUAGACUUUUUCUAGGCAUGCAUAAUUAGUUGAGUCAAAAUCAGCAUUUCUUUUUAAUUAUUGUUGGUUGUCUAUAAAAUCACAUUUUGUUAGAAUAAUGACAUUGCUACAUUUCCUAAUUUAUUUAUUUUAAGAUGAAACCUAAGCUGGAGUUUGAUGUAAAGAAAUAAAAGAACUUAGGCACAGUAAGCUACCCAUUUUAUGAAUGGUUAAAUUCUGUAAAUGCUGGUUAGUCUAGAAGUGUUUUCCCAUAAGGUUGAAUAAACUUCGUUUGUUGUGUAUCUUUCUUGGCUUAGAUGAACUUUUAAACCUUCCAGUUAGCAUGUCCAGAUAAUGAACUAUUUAUACAGGCUUUUUUUUUUUGUUGUUGUUGUUAAAGAUUAAAAAAAAAUUUGAUUGUUCUAACAAAAGAGACUUGAUAACUUUCUGUGUAUAACCAUUAUGGGAAAUAUCCUUUUUGCUUUUAAGUUUCUUGACUUUCCGCUUUCUCUGUCUUCUUGACCUUUUUGAAACUUUUUUCUUAUAAAUAUUUCCUAGAAGCCAGCCGCUGUUCCUCCAUUUUACCCCUCUACCCAAGUACAUUGUUAGCAUCCUCUUUAUGGUAACUUGUUAAUCUAAAUGUCACUGGAAUCUUUAUCAACAGCCUAAAAUUUUUGAGAUGUUUCACAGCUUGGCCUCUGGCACAGAUUUUACAUUUUCAGAAGAAAAAAAAAAAACCUACCUAUUUUUACUUUUCAAGUAUUUAGUUUCUGAAAAUACAUCUGAAUAUGUUUUAACAAAGCAUUUUUCUCAAGAAAUAUAAAAUGAUUUCUCUACAAAACUAUCGUGUGGCCUAGAUUCAAAGGCUUCAUUAAAAGCAACGACUAUAAAUAAAUGAC